Molecule: unclassified non-coding RNA, 375 nt
Filed under: soil metagenome
Description: partial contains 5.8S ribosomal RNA, internal transcribed spacer 2, and large subunit ribosomal RNA
Rfam family: 5.8S ribosomal RNA (bases 1-120)
Source: RNAcentral
GAUGAAGAACGUAGCGAAAUGCGAUAAGUAAUGUGAAUUGCAGAAUUCAGUGAAUCAUCGAAUCUUUGAACGCACAUUGCGCCCGCCAGUAUUCUGGCGGGCAUGCCUGUUCGAGCGUCAUUUCAACCCUCAAGACCCCUUCGGGGGACUUGGUGUUGGGGACCGGCACAGGGGUCUGCCUGCUUGUCUUGCAGCGCCCUCGCCGCCCCCGAAAUGAAUUGGCGGCCUCGUCGCGGCCUCCCCUGCGUAGUAGCACAAACCUCGCAACGGGAACGUGACGGCGGCCACUGCCGUAAAACAACCCAAUUUUAUUAGAGUUGACCUCGAAUCAGGUAGGAAUACCCGCUGAACUUAAGCAUAUCAAUAAGCGGAGGA